This 515-nucleotide ribosomal RNA is filed under the name uncultured bacterium. RNAcentral's name for it is "bacterial SSU rRNA". It matches the Rfam family "Bacterial small subunit ribosomal RNA", at positions 391 to 916 of the family's 1533-position model. The record is from RNAcentral.
GCAACGCCGCGUGAGGGACGACGGCCUUCGGGUUGUAAACCUCUUUUAGCAGGGAAGAAGCGAAAGUGACGGUACCUGCAGAAAAAGCGCCGGCUAACUACGUGCCAGCAGCCGCGGUAAUACGUAGGGCGCAAGCGUUAUCCGGAAUUAUUGGGCGUAAAGAGCUCGUAGGCGGUCUGUCGCGUCUGCUGUGAAAACCCGAGGCUCAACCUCGGGCCUGCAGUGGGUACGGGCAGACUAGAGUGCGGUAGGGGAGAUUGGAAUUCCUGGUGUAGCGGUGGAAUGCGCAGAUAUCAGGAGGAACACCGAUGGCGAAGGCAGAUCUCUGGGCCGUAACUGACGCUGAGGAGCGAAAGCAUGGGGAGCGAACAGGAUUAGAUACCCUGGUAGUCCAUGCCGUAAACGUUGGGAACUAGAUGUAGGGUCCAUUCCACGGAUUCUGUGUCGCAGCUAACGCAUUAAGUUCCCCGCCUGGGGAGUACGGCCGCAAGGCUAAAACUCAAAGGAAUUGACGG